Molecule: transfer RNA, 64 nt
Filed under: Bathynomus sp. YS-2016
Lineage: Eukaryota; Metazoa; Arthropoda; Malacostraca; Isopoda; Cirolanidae
Description: tRNA-Asn
Source: RNAcentral
UAAGAUAAAGCCAAAGAGAGCGGCGGGCUUUUGUUAUGAGCCCUAUUGAGACUAUCUAUCUUAU